CUACAUAGGGGGCAAGCGUUAUCCGGAAUUAUUGGGCGUAAAGGGUGCGUAGGCGGUCUAUUAAGUCUGAGGUGUAAGUGCAGGGCUCAACCCUGUGAUGCUUUAGAAACUGGUAGACUUGAGUGAGAUAGAGGCAAGUGGAAUUCCAUGUGUAGCGGUAAAAUGCGUAAAUAUAUGGAGGAACACCAGUGGCGAAGGCGGCUUGCUGGGUCUAUACUGACGCUGAGGCACGAAAGCGGGGGGAGCAAACAGGAUUAGAUACCCUGGUAGUCCACGCCGUAAACGAUGAGUACUAAGUGUUGCGAGAACGCAGUGCUGAAGUUAACAUAUUAAGUACUCCGCCUGAGUAGUACGUACGCAAGGAUGAAACUCAAAGGAAUUGACGGGG
Molecule: ribosomal RNA, 388 nt
Filed under: uncultured bacterium
Lineage: Bacteria
Description: partial 16S ribosomal RNA
Rfam family: Bacterial small subunit ribosomal RNA
Source: RNAcentral